CCAGCUGUAAACGGUGCGCACUUGGUGUGGGGGGAAUUGACCCCCUCCGUGCCGGAGCUAACGCGUUAAGUGCGCCGCCUGGGGAGUACGGCCGCAAGGUUAAAACUCAAAGAAAUUGACGGGGGCCCGCACAAGCGGAGGAGCAUGUGGCUUAAUUCGAUGCAACGCGAAGAACCUUACCUGGGCUUGACAUGCAGCUGCACGCCCCGUGAAAGCGGGGUUCCUUCGAGGGUGCUGCACAGGUGCUGCAUGGCUGUCGUCAGUUCGUGCCGUGAGGUGUUGGGUUAAGUCCCGCAACGAACGCAACCCUUGUGUUUAGUUGCCACUCCCGGUGAUGAGCCGGGAAGCACUCUAAACAGACUGCCCGUACAAGCGG
This 376-nucleotide ribosomal RNA is filed under the name uncultured bacterium. Its description in RNAcentral is "bacterial SSU rRNA". It matches the Rfam family "Bacterial small subunit ribosomal RNA", at positions 796 to 1165 of the family's 1533-position model. The record is from RNAcentral.